CUUGACGACCAUAGAGCGUUGGAACCACCUGAUCCCAUUCCGAACUCAGAAGUGAAACGAUGCAUCGCCGAUGGUAGUGUGGGGUUUCC
This 89-nucleotide ribosomal RNA is filed under the name Stutzerimonas stutzeri. Lineage: Bacteria; Pseudomonadati; Pseudomonadota; Gammaproteobacteria; Pseudomonadales; Pseudomonadaceae. The record is from RNAcentral.